GAUGAAGAACGCAGUGAAAUGCGAUAACUAAUGUGAAUUGCAGAAUUCAGUGAAUCAUCGAGUCUUUGAACGCACAUUGCGCCCCCUGGUAUUCCGGGGGGCAUGCCUGUCCGAGCGUCAUUGCUGCCCUCAAGCCCGGCUUGUGUGUUGGGCCCCGUCCCCCUCUCCGGGGGACGGGCCCGAAAGGCAGCGGCGGCACCGAGUCCGGUCCUCGAGCGUAUGGGGCUUUGUCACCCGCUCUGUAGGCCCGGCCGGCGCCAGCCGACAACCCAUCAUCCUUUUCAGGUUGACCUCGGAUCAGGUAGGGAUACCCGCUGAACUUAAGCAUAUCAAUAGCGGAGGA
RNAcentral lists this unclassified non-coding RNA (343 nucleotides) under soil metagenome. RNAcentral describes it as "partial contains 5.8S ribosomal RNA, internal transcribed spacer 2, and large subunit ribosomal RNA". The stretch from base 1 to 120 matches the Rfam family "5.8S ribosomal RNA", at positions 35 to 154 of the family's 154-position model. The record is from RNAcentral.